GAUGAACGCUGGCGGCGUGCCUAAUACAUGCAAGUCGAGCGAAUGGAUUAAGAGCUUGCUCUUAUGAAGUUAGCGGCGGACGGGUGAGUAACACGUGGGUAACCUGCACAUAAGACUAGGAUACCUCCGGGAAACCGGGGCUAAUACCGGAUAACAUUUUGAACCGCAUGGUUCGAAAUUGAAAGGCGGCUUCGGCUGUCACUUAUGGAUGGACCCGCGUCGCAUUAGCUAGUUGGUGAGGUAACGGCUCACCAAGGCAACGAUGCGUAGCCGACCUGAGAGGGUGAUCGGCCACACUGGGACUGAGACACGGCCCAGACUCCUACGGGAGGCAGCAGUAGGGAAUCUUCCGCAAUGGACGAAAGUCUGACGGAGCAACGCCGCGUGAGUGAUGAAGGCUUUCGGGUCGUAAAACUCUGUUGUUAGGGAAGAACAAGUGCUAGUUGAAUAAGCUGGCACCUUGACGGUACCUAACCAGAAAGCCACGGCUAACUACGUGCCAGCAGCCGCGGUAA
This 515-nucleotide ribosomal RNA is filed under the name uncultured bacterium. RNAcentral describes it as "partial 16S ribosomal RNA". It matches the Rfam family "Bacterial small subunit ribosomal RNA", at positions 28 to 523 of the family's 1533-position model. The record is from RNAcentral.